Molecule: long non-coding RNA, 718 nt
Filed under: Rattus norvegicus (Norway rat)
Lineage: Eukaryota; Metazoa; Chordata; Mammalia; Rodentia; Muridae
Description: long non-coding RNA NONRATT015661
Source: RNAcentral
UUUUUUUUUAAAGGGCAAGGAAUAUAGUCUACUGGUAGGGUGCUUGCCCAGCAUGCAUCAAAUUACUAGGUCUGCCUGAUCUGCACAGUGAGGACAGCUAGGGUUACAUGGAGAGAUAUAAUCACAAAAUAAAAACAAAAAUCCAUAGUCUGGAGAGAUGGUUCAGCAGUUAAAAGAACUUAAUGGUCUCACAAAGACCCAGGUUCAGUGCCAUGUAAGUACAAUUUGAGGGUAUACCAUGCAUAGUGCUACUCUCCAAACAAAACUCUCUUGUCUCCUUUGUACUAUUUCUAACACAGUAUUGCUGUAUGCACAUGUAAUGUCCACCUCAGGCUCGAGCAGCUGCACACAGUUCCCAGCUAUCGAGCUGGAUGAGGAAGGUGUGCAUUAUUACCAAGGGCAAAUGAGACCUGGAGGGCAGGACUUGAUAAUGUGUCAGCUCCACUUCCCACCUGGGCUUUCUGCUUCCUGGGUAUCAAUGCCACAUACCCAACCACAGCCACAGUCCAAACUGCUCCUGACAUCACACCUUCCCUUCUGUGACAAACUAUACCUCUCAAACCUAUGAGCCAAGCCAGGCAGUUGGUAAUGCAUGCCUUUGAUCCCAGCACUUGGGUGGCAGCAGCAGGUGGAUCUCUGUGAAUUUGAGGUCAGGCUAGUCUACAAAGUGACAGCCAGGGAUACACAGUGAAACCCUGUCCAAAAAAAAAAAAAAAGA